UACGUAGGGUGCGAGCGUUAAUCGGAAUUACUGGGCGUAAAGCGUGCGCAGGCGGUUCGUUGUGUCGGCGGGGAAAGCCCCGGGCUUAACCUGGGAAUGGCCGUCGAAACUGGCGAACUGGAGUGUGGCAGAGGGGGGUGGAAUUCCGCGUGUAGCAGUGAAAUGCGUAGAGAUGCGGAGGAACACCGAUGGCGAAGGCAGCAUCCUGGACCAACACUGACGCUGAGGCGCGAAAGCUAGGGGAGCAAACAGG
This 253-nucleotide ribosomal RNA is filed under the name uncultured bacterium. Its description in RNAcentral is "partial 16S ribosomal RNA". It matches the Rfam family "Bacterial small subunit ribosomal RNA", at positions 524 to 776 of the family's 1533-position model. The record is from RNAcentral.